This 406-nucleotide ribosomal RNA is filed under the name uncultured bacterium. RNAcentral describes it as "partial 16S ribosomal RNA". It matches the Rfam family "Bacterial small subunit ribosomal RNA", at positions 29 to 526 of the family's 1533-position model. The record is from RNAcentral.
AUUGAACGCUGGCGGCAGGCCUAACACAUGCAAGUAGAGCGAGCGGCGGACGGGUGAGUAAUGUAUGGGAAUCUGCCCGAUAGAGGGGGAUAACUACGGGAAACGGUGGCUAAUACCGCAUACUAUCGGAUGAAGCCAGAUGGGAUUAGCUAGUCGGUGGGGUAAAGGCUCACCUAGGCGACGAUCUCUAGCUGGUCGGAGCGGAUGAUCAGCCACACUGGGACUGAGACACGGCCCAGACUCCUACGGGAGGCAGCAGUGGGGAAUAUUGCACAAUGGGCGCAAGCCUGAUACAGCCAUGCCGCGUGUAUGAAGAAGGCCUUAGGGUUGUAAAGUACUUUCAGCGGGGAGGAGGUACCCGAAGAAGAAGCACCGGCUAACUUCGGGCCAGCAGCCGCGGUAAUAC